Long non-coding RNA from Acanthochromis polyacanthus (spiny chromis), 872 nucleotides. RefSeq lists it as uncharacterized. The record is from RefSeq and is a predicted model, not a curated record. The transcript is spliced from 3 exons. NCBI's taxonomy places the organism in Eukaryota, Metazoa, Chordata, Actinopteri, Pomacentridae.
AGUACACUGUGAUAUGAAACCACGUGAUCCAAACAUGAUUUCCCUUGUUGGCCAUAUUGUUGGCGCCGAGAGAGAGUUUUUUUUCUCAUUUCCCCCUCCAACUUUAUUUUUAAGGAAGUGUGUAUGUGCAGUUUAUACCUCGUGUCUCAAGUGGAGUUAGGGGCUUUCAGUGUCACAUAUUUGGAAAACUGUCAUAGACUAUACAACAAACUAAAUUAAAGAACAAGCCCUGGUCCUCACCUGCAAAGUCUCCCCAGAGAGAGAUGCAAAAUAUAUUCGGCAACACGUUAGCUCAUUAGGCCUUAUAAAAAUUGAAUGCAAAAUGCCUACAAACAGCUACAAAGACAUGCAGAAUAUCAACAAGUUGCAUGGUGUGACACAGAAAACAUUUGCAUCAACACAGCAGCGUCUUUUUCUGUCUCUUCAAGUCUUCUUCCCUUAUGGAAGACACAUGUCAAGGCCUUUGACAUGUUGGUGCCUAGGGGUCCAUUGUUUUAUCCAUGGAGUUAGGAUUGCCUGAUGGAAGAAAAGACAAGCACAUCCUCCAUCCACAGUGGCUGUUUGCCCAGCAGGCACACUAAUAAGGCUGAUGCAACAGCGUGGAGCAGCGCGGGUUGACGGGAGUCACAACGUCUGCUGUGACGGGGGCCUAGGGCGAAAUCUGAGAAAUGUAUUCAAGCGAUGUGCCUUGCCCCCGCGCACAACGGAGACUGAAGACUGUAAUUCUGAAGAUGAAAAGAAUCAGGAGGUGUGGAGUUAGAAAGACCUCUGUAUCCUGCUCCUCAUCUCUGCUCGAGGCUAUAGAAGCUACCUCAGCUUCUAUAGCGACCAAGCCAGCUACCAAUCUCAUGUAUUAAUUCUCUGUGAGUUAU